Dendroctonus ponderosae (mountain pine beetle) is the source of this 641-nucleotide long non-coding RNA. RefSeq lists it as uncharacterized. Lineage: Eukaryota; Metazoa; Arthropoda; Insecta; Coleoptera; Curculionidae. The record is from RefSeq and is a predicted model, not a curated record. The transcript has 3 exons.
UCGCGUUUGAGUAAGAGUGUCUCUAUCGGUCCAUAAGUUUUUCGAAAAUUUUGGCAUUUUUUAAAAUUCUGUGCGAAAAACUGUUGAUUUUCUCAAAUGGUAAGUUCCAUUCUAUCGGUUUGUGGUAUUAAUGUUGUUCAAAGUGCGAUUUUUACCGAGAAAGUGCGAUUUUUGUAACCAUCUGACGUCCGUGUCAAACGGGAAGUUUUAAUACGCACCGACUAGCAUUUGAGGCUGAAUAUUGAGGUUAAAUAGGUAAGUGGAUCAAUGGAGAUAGUGAAUUCAGUGAAUGCAAGAAAACUGAAAUUUAGCAGAUGAUGCAAGAAGUAUUUCAACGGUGUUUCUAAGAAGGAAAUGCCAUAUUAACGGCUACCCCGUAACCAUAAUCAUCCCAUAAUCGGCCUGAGAUUAGAGAAAUGAGCCUGAACAGGAACGAACUAGCCCGACCUCUAGUUGAAAUGGCAAAUUUACAAAUGGCCACAAUUUUUUGAAAGAAAUCGUCAUGGGCGAUCAGUGCGGUGUCAUCUGCAUAGUGCGUAUAUAUGUAAGCGAGUGCUUUGAUUUGAAGCCAAAUUGAGAUGUUUUUCUAUUAUUUUUUGCAAUCUGUGCACGUUUAUAUAUAAAUAAUUUUAAUUAUAAAU